Molecule: ribosomal RNA, 600 nt
Filed under: Triticum aestivum (bread wheat)
Lineage: Eukaryota; Viridiplantae; Streptophyta; Magnoliopsida; Poales; Poaceae
Description: partial small subunit ribosomal RNA
Source: RNAcentral
AUGGCUAAGUUCAUUUGGAGCAGUUCUAUUGAUCGGCGGUCUAUGCAUUGGAUAUCAUGGGAUAAACUAGCUACACCGAAAUGCAAAGGUGGAAUGGGCUUUGGUGAUCUCCGCUUGUUCAACCUAGAUCUUUUGGGGAAGCACGGAUGGCGCUUUAUGACUAACCCCAACUCUCUAUGUGCCUGGGUUUUGAAGGGCCGUUACUUCCCAGAUUUUGAGUUUCAGCUUGCCACAAUACCAACAGCCGCAUCUGCUACUUGGUGAGCCAUCGUUGCCGGUCGAGAGGCGCUCGAUGCUGGCCUUAUCAAACGCGUGGGCACCGGUUCAACCAUAUCCAUAUGGGAUGAUCGAUGGAUUCCGUCGACAGUAUCUAUGACUCCCAUGCUGAGACCUCAAAAUGCAUCUGUUGAGUUGGUUAGUGAGUUGAUCGACACUGACAACUGGACAUGGAAGACGGAGUUAGUACAUGAGCUAUUUAUCGGCCCCGAUGCACAAGCUAUUCUGAAUAUACUUUGCGCCAGGGGGGUGGUGAUGAUUUUAUGGCAUGGGCACACGAAAAAUCUGGCAUCUACACAGUUAAAUCGGCGUACCGGUCUCUAG